ACAUCUGAAUGUCUUAUUUAUAGUAUAGAGGCCUGAUGAAGCAAACGAGAGUUUGCGAAACGUUGCUGAAUAUACUUUAAGAUCUUU
Long non-coding RNA from Coccinella septempunctata (seven-spotted ladybird), 87 nucleotides. RefSeq lists it as uncharacterized. The record is from RefSeq and is a predicted model, not a curated record. Lineage: Eukaryota; Metazoa; Arthropoda; Insecta; Coleoptera; Coccinellidae. The transcript has 2 exons.